Molecule: long non-coding RNA, 1733 nt
Filed under: Homo sapiens (human)
Lineage: Eukaryota; Metazoa; Chordata; Mammalia; Primates; Hominidae
Description: HSALNT0315039
Source: RNAcentral
GGAGAUGGACAUGGACAGGGGCUGAAACUGCAGUACCAGCAGAUGGGGAGCUUAAGAAGGAAGCUAGUUCAUGGCACAGCACCCGUAAAGUCCCCAGAAUUGGAGGCACCAGAUUCUUCUGAAAGAAAAGGAGCAAUUCAGCACUUGUCAUGCAGAUAAGAGGUCAACACCCCAGGACGGAGUGAAAACCUAAGGAUUCACAAACCCACCCUUGUGCGAAUCCAGCCGUCUGUGUUCUAGACUGGCAAGGACCAUAUCUGAUUCUGAGAUGCUCAGGAAGGUGUGCUCCCAAUUGGCCCUUGUCCAGACUAGUUUACUUGCUGAGUAUCCCCAGGGCACAGGAACAAUCAUUUGGGGUUGCGGCUUUGUUCAUAGGGUCAUCAAGACAGGAGGAUAUGAGGCAGAAUCACCACACAAGCUAACCUGAUGUACAUAUGACAUUAAUCCAAUAGACUUAGGAAUAAGAUACAGGGGGUUUUCCUGAAUGAUUCGAGUAUAUCCCCAUUCAUAUUAAGAAAACAAAGUAUUGGCCAAGCGUGGUGGCUCACGCCUGUAAUCCCGGCACUUUGGAAGGCCGAGGCCAGUGGAUCACCUGAGAUGGACUCAACGACUCUCUUACCGUCCAGCUCUCAAGUCCCUUCUCUUGUGAAAAUGGAAAAGUUGAACUACAGUUGAGAUAUUAUUCCCAGGUGUUCUUUGGAACACAGGGGAUUUCUCCAAAAGGCACAGAACAAAUUGCCUCCAAACAGCCAAGAUUCCAGCAGAAGCUGGAGUAGCAGACUACUUGGAUCUUCAAAGUACCUGGCCCUGAGUCAGUUAAGGAAGAUCUUUUCUUCUCUUUUGUACAAUCCUAUGAUGAGAGCUGCAAAGUGAACUGACUAAGAGCUUCUGCCUUGAUCAUUGACCUCCCAAUCCUAAUAAUAUGUUCACUGGCCAAACUUCCUAAUCGAUUUGUCUUUUGGAUAUAACGUUCCUCCUACUGUUUGCCUGAUUGAGAAAUCUGCUACAGAACAUGACCGGUUAGCAUUCCCACCAACCCCAGUGCUACACUGACUGUCUUUCGAUGGACUUUGCUCCUUGCUGCCUCUCUGAGGUCCCAGACCUUCAGAGUGACCUUCACAGCUCUGCCUAACUUUCUGUCAUACUUCUAUCAAGAGAGACAGCUAAAUCAAUAUUUUUAAUGUGCUUUGCUGUCGGAAUUCGAUGAUCUGUCACAGUUCUUGCCCAAUACACCCCAUCAUUAUUGUUAAAAUGUUUUUAGCUUUGUUUGUAGAAUUGCUUUAACUGGUUUCAUCUCUGGGAGCUACACUUUGAAAUAUAACUUUAGCAACAUUUUACUAUACUUUUUCACAACCCAGAGCAGUACUAUUUUAUGCUUAGUGGUUAAACUAAUUCCAUAAAUCUUUUGCAACUAUCCUCUAUUCUUUUUCUUGUAAUUUUUACCUGGGAAGGUUUUUACUGAUAAUCAUCCUAUCCUGAGUCAUCCCACAAACCAAUCUGUCUCACUAAUCAUUGCUUCUAACCUACAGACUAAGCAUAACUUCUGCUAAAUGAUCUUUGAUAAGAUGCUAUGACUCUAUAAAGUCUUUGAUAUUCAUGUCUAAAUUUAAUCACUUGUAGAUUUUCAUAGAAUCAAUCUUUCACUUCUACAAUUGGGAGUAUUUAUAAGUUGUUUAUCUUAAACAGUUCCUCUAUCACGCUUUUCACGUUAAAUAAAGCAAUCCCUUCAAAUC